RNAcentral lists this ribosomal RNA (494 nucleotides) under Klebsiella pneumoniae. RNAcentral describes it as "partial 23S ribosomal RNA". It matches the Rfam family "Bacterial large subunit ribosomal RNA", at positions 366 to 867 of the family's 2925-position model. The record is from RNAcentral. Lineage: Bacteria; Pseudomonadati; Pseudomonadota; Gammaproteobacteria; Enterobacterales; Enterobacteriaceae.
GAUAGUCCCGUACACCAAAAUGCACAGGUUGUGAACUCGAAGAGUAGGGCGGGACACGUGGUAUCCUGUCUGAAUAUGGGGGGACCAUCCUCCAAGGCUAAAUACUCCUGACUGACCGAUAGUGAACCAGUACCGUGAGGGAAAGGCGAAAAGAACCCCGGCGAGGGGAGUGAAAAAGAACCUGAAACCGUGUACGUACAAGCAGUGGGAGCACCUUCGGGUGUGACUGCGUACCUUUUGUAUAAUGGGUCAGCGACUUAUAUUCUGUAGCAAGGUUAACCGUAUAGGGGAGCCGCAGGGAAACCGAGUCUUAACUGGGCGUUAAGUUGCAGGGUAUAGACCCGAAACCCGGUGAUCUAGCCAUGGGCAGGUUGAAGGUUGGGUAACACUAACUGGAGGACCGAACCGACUAAUGUUGAAAAAUUAGCGGAUGACUUGUGGCUGGGGGUGAAAGGCCAAUCAAACCGGGAGAUAGCUGGUUCUCCCCGAAAGCU